Molecule: ribosomal RNA, 659 nt
Filed under: Paracoccaceae bacterium
Lineage: Bacteria; Pseudomonadati; Pseudomonadota; Alphaproteobacteria; Rhodobacterales; Paracoccaceae
Description: bacterial SSU rRNA
Rfam family: Bacterial small subunit ribosomal RNA
Source: RNAcentral
AACGAACGCUGGCGGCAGGCCUAACACAUGCAAGUCGAGCGCACCUUCGGGUGAGCGGCGGACGGGUUAGUAACGCGUGGGAACGUGCCCUUCUCUAAGGAAUAGCCACUGGAAACGGUGAGUAAUACCUUAUACGCCCUUCGGGGGAAAGAUUUAUCGGAGAAGGAUCGGCCCGCGUUAGAUUAGAUAGUUGGUGGGGUAAUGGCCUACCAAGUCUACGAUCUAUAGCUGGUUUUAGAGGAUGAUCAGCAACACUGGGACUGAGACACGGCCCAGACUCCUACGGGAGGCAGCAGUGGGGAAUCUUAGACAAUGGGCGAAAGCCUGAUCUAGCCAUGCCGCGUGAGUGACGAAGGCCUUAGGGUCGUAAAGCUCUUUCGCCAGGGAUGAUAAUGACAGUACCUGGUAAAGAAACCCCGGCUAACUCCGUGCCAGCAGCCGCGGUAAUACGGAGGGGGUUAGCGUUGUUCGGAAUUACUGGGCGUAAAGCGUACGUAGGCGGAUUGGAAAGUAUGGGGUGAAAUCCCAGGGCUCAACCCUGGAACUGCCUCAUAAACUACCAGUCUAGAGUUCGAGAGAGGUGAGUGGAAUUCCGAGUGUAGAGGUGAAAUUCGUAGAUAUUCGGAGGAACACCAGUGGCGAAGGCGGCUCACUGGCUC